CCAUCCGACAUUUGUGGUUGA
RNAcentral lists this microRNA (21 nucleotides) under Caenorhabditis briggsae. RNAcentral describes it as "cbr-miR-7583c-3p". The record is from miRBase by way of RNAcentral. Lineage: Eukaryota; Metazoa; Nematoda; Chromadorea; Rhabditida; Rhabditidae.